AUGGCCGGAUUUAGUUUAGAAGAAUCGGCUGUAAAAAUACUUGGAGUGACAAUUGCCGUCAUUGGUGCAAUUUAUUUAAUUUAUCCACCAGGACUUCUCCUAAUUCCAUUAUCUCUUUUCAUCUUUUCCUACACCACGAAAAAUGAAAAAUGUUCCAGUAAAAAUGUCGACACCUUCUUUUCCGGUUUCAAAAUUGGUGGACAUCGUGGAGCACCGAAGAGUUUUCCAGAGAACAGUAUGGCUGGAUUUGCACAGGCAAAAGCCGAUGGAGCUGAUUUGAUAGAGUUUGAUGUGGCUUUGACAAAAGAUGGAAAAGCUGUUUUAAUGCAUGAUGAUGAUUUGGAUAGAACUACGGAUAUGAAGGGACCAAUUAGAGAUAAAACCCGUGCUGAACUAGAUCGUUGUGAUAUUUCUGCAACUUUUAAAAGAACUGCACCCGGAGACCACUGUCGUUUGGCUACCGUAUCUCGUGAACGUGUCCCAGAUAUGGAGGAUGUUGUUAAAUGGGCAGUUGAGAACAAUACUCGAAUGCUUUUUGAUGUUAAGGAUUCCGAUAAUGAGCUCGUUGAUCAAAUUGCCAAUCUUUUUCAAAAAUACAAUCUCUAUGACAAGGCAAUCGUAUGCAGUUUCUUCCCUUGGGUUGUAUAUCGUAUCAAGAAAGGAGAUCAAAAGAUUUUGACGGGUUUGACGUGGCGUCUCAAGUUCUGGUCUUACCACGACAUUGAGAAUAUCCGUCCAAGAUACUCGGGACCAAAACAAAUGCUUUUUGAAAUGAUUGAUGUUGCUCAUGUUUGGCUUCUAAAAAAAGUUACUCCUUGGUAUCUUGGAGCUGAUCUUUUGCUUACGAAUAAUUUGGAUAUUUCUCAGUUUAUGAAUGGAUAGUAACAAUAUCAGCUUCGUAGAAGAAGUAUUCGAGGAUAUAGAAGAUGAGUGUGCCUACUCUCCACCAAUAUUUCUCGAGUGGAAAAUGGUUUUUGUGGGUGUGAUUGGAUUAAUAGUUGCACUCAUCAGUAUUGUUCACAAUUCACUUCUCUUCUACACAUUUAGUACAUCUACAGUACUCCGGAAACGAAACCUGACAUAUUUGAUGUGGAUUUCCGGAUGCGAUGUUUUCAUCUCGAUUUGUUAUAUUGCAAUUAUGUGUGUUCAGGUGUACACCGACUAUUUCGUAUCAUUCAAGUUAUUAGUUUUAUGGCAUGACUAUUUACGGACUGCUUUCACAGUGUCUCAUAUCACCUUAUCGGCUGCUUCAUUUCUUCUUAUGGCCGCAACAGUUGAAAGAUAUCUUCAAAGUACUGCCGAUAACAGGACUCUGAAGUUAUUUCAAAUUCUCGCAACCCACAGGACAUAUGUUGUUUUUUGUUGUUUCCUAGCGAGUCUCAUAUUUCGAGGAACCGUGUUUUUUGAGAUUGAGGUUGUUACUCAACCGAAUUGUACGGGAUUUUCAUCAAUGGGUUUGGCAGUUGUACCAAUGUUUGGAGAAAGUAUGGAUGUUGUUUGGAGAUUUUUUAUUCGAAAAAUUGUUACCGUUUUCUUGCCAUUUGCAGUUUUGGCAUACUUCAAUGCAGCAAUUGUAAUGAAUGUGCGAAGGACUGAUCGGGAUCAAACAGUCAAAGCAUUGGUUUUAUUUAUUACUGUUGGAACAAGAGGAGAAGUUACACGAUUGAGAUCACGGCUGAGAGCUGUUACAAGAAUGCUUGUUAUGGUUGUUACUGGAUAUCUACUUGCGAAUAUUUUAGAUAUUAUUAUUGCGUUUUGGGAGACAAUCAAUAUUCAAAGUCUUCAAGAACUUCCUUCAUUAUAUACAGUACUUUCGGACAUUUCAUCAUUUUUACCAAUUGCUGCAUGUGCUCUUCGUCUCCCUAUCUACACAAUUAAUGAUCGUCAAAUUAGAGUCGAGGUUCGAAGAAAGUUUUGUUAUCUCAUAACGAGAUGUUGCACAUGUUGUCCAGGAGUUCUUUGCGAUACUCAUCAAAGAAAGAAACUUCAUGAUAAUCAGUUGGAAUCGGAAAGACUUUGGCCCAAGAAUGAGCCAACUCCAAAACUUGAGAUCAGAAAUUACGGCCUUCAAUCCCUAAUAAUGGCUCGAGCUUCUCUCUCCACAAAGGAAAUCUACGACAUUCACCGGUUCCGAGAAACUUAUGAUGUUUGA
This 2152-nucleotide unclassified non-coding RNA is filed under the name Caenorhabditis elegans. Its description in RNAcentral is "Non-coding transcript of protein-coding gene Y40C5A.4c". The record is from RNAcentral. Lineage: Eukaryota; Metazoa; Nematoda; Chromadorea; Rhabditida; Rhabditidae.